This 1291-nucleotide long non-coding RNA is filed under the name Homo sapiens (human). RNAcentral's name for it is "HSALNT0009639". Lineage: Eukaryota; Metazoa; Chordata; Mammalia; Primates; Hominidae. The record is from RNAcentral.
AAAUUUACUUUUACUUGGGGAAAAAUGAUGAGUUAGUCAUUAAAGAGCUAUUAAGUGAUGUUGAUUAGGAAAGACUUUUUAACCAGUCAUUUUGUCUCACAACCAAUGCUGAAAUUUCUCCAACCUCAGCAUUCUGCUUAGACAUCACAGGGAACUGUGGUCACUGGCACAUCUGGAUCUGGACCAACUUGUCUUUUCAUUAAUGUAAAUCAUUAUGAUGUAAUUACUCAGCCUGCAAUGUAGAGAUCAUUGAUUUCUUUUGCCCAGUAGCAGUACUUUUAAGUCACUGAUGACAAAGGGAACUUUCAGGACAAUCCAAACUAUACAAAUUAGCUCCAGUUCAAGAAAGGCAAACUUAUUUAAAAGGUUCCAACACUAAAUUUCAUCCUAAGAUUUUCUCUUUGCUUGGAAUAAAUUAAGCAAGGAAAGUUGAUUCCUUCAUGUUGCUUUAAUUACUUUUGGUAAUGUAUUUUACUCAUCAAAUUUCUAAGACAAUAACACUUUAGUGUUCUUUCCCCAAAUGGACUUGUGUUUUGUCCCUACCAUGGUCCCAUAUCAUGUCCCAACUCUCAGGGGAGUCAGUCACUUUUCUGAGAAUGCCAUUAACUCCUUUGGAGAGAGAUACCCUAAUAUAAGCAGGCUCAUAGUCUUUUGAUUUUUUAGGAUCUUGUUUCUCUGAGCCCAGAGAUGUCCUCAAACACUGCCUUUCAGAAAAGCAGAUUGCUAUCUGGAUGAUGACAUCCGUAUGUGUAGCAGCCCUGUGGCUAUUAGUUUCUUACAUUUUGUGAUGGAUUUUACGAUUGACCCAGAUUCUUUAUCCCUCCCAGCAUCUAAAGCCCUGCCUUAGCCUCAUUGUGGGAAGGGCACUUCUCCAUUUCCAACUUUGGGCUCAGUAAUAGGAUUUGUUUUGACAAAUGACAUGUAGGUAAAAGUGGCAAUGAGCCAGUUCCAAGCUAAGCCUCUAAAUAUUCUGCUGUUUCUGCUUUCCCCUUUGCAUGUCUACCAUGACCAUGAGAAAUUCAUGCCUAGCCAGCCCAUGGAUGCCAGAAGGAUGAGAGAGAUUGGAAAAGAGCUAUUCCAGCUGAGCCCUGCCUAAAUCCACAGAACUCCAGCCAAAUCAUGCCCACAUCUAGCAGUUUUCACGUGGACUAUUCUCUACCAUCCUGAGUUCACAUGUAAGUACUGUGUUCAGAUUUAGUAUGUACUACCUUGAAAGACCACGGGGCCCAUUGUGCAGGAAAUCCUUGGUAGGAAGAAAAAUAGGUAACCCAAGAGCAUAGAUUUUGGAAUG